Molecule: ribosomal RNA, 1353 nt
Filed under: uncultured bacterium
Lineage: Bacteria
Description: bacterial SSU rRNA
Rfam family: Bacterial small subunit ribosomal RNA
Source: RNAcentral
GACGAACGCUGGCGGCGUGCUUAACACAUGCAAGUCGAACGGUGAAGCCCAGCUUGCUGGGUGGAUCAGUGGCGAACGGGUGAGUAACACGUGAGCAACCUGCCCUCCACUUCGGGAUAAGCCUUGGAAACGGGGUCUAAUACCGGAUAUGAGCACUCAUCGCAUGGUGGGUGUUGGAAAGUUUUUCGGUGGGGGAUGGGCUCGCGGCCUAUCAGCUUGUUGGUGGGGUGAUGGCCUACCAAGGCGUCGACGGGUAGCCGGCCUGAGAGGGCGACCGGCCACACUGGGACUGAGACACGGCCCAGACUCCUACGGGAGGCAGCAGUGGGGAAUAUUGCACAAUGGGCGCAAGCCUGAUGCAGCGACGCCGCGUGAGGGAUGACGGCCUUCGGGUUGUAAACCUCUUUCAGCAGGGAAGAAGCGCAAGUGACGGUACCUGCAGAAGAAGCGCCGGCUAACUACGUGCCAGCAGCCGCGGUAAUACGUAGGGCGCAAGCGUUGUCCGGAAUUAUUGGGCGUAAAGAGCUCGUAGGCGGUUUGUCGCGUCUGGUGUGAAAUCCCGAGGCUCAACUUCGGGCUUGCAUCGGGUACGGGCAGACUAGAGUGCGGUAGGGGAGACUGGAAUUCCUGGUGUAGCGGUGGAAUGCGCAGAUAUCAGGAGGAACUCCGAUGGCGAAGGCAGGUCUCUGGGCCGCAACUGACGCUGAGGAGCGAAAGCAUGGGGAGCGAACAGGAUUAGAUACCCUGGUAGUCCAUGCCGUAAACGUUGGGCACUAGGUGUGGGGCUCAUUCCACGAGUUCCGUGCCGCAGCUAACGCAUUAAGUGCCCCGCCUGGGGAGUACGGCCGCAAGGCUAAAACUCAAAGGAAUUGACGGGGGCCCGCACAAGCGGCGGAGCAUGCGGAUUAAUUCGAUGCAACGCGAAGAACCUUACCAAGGCUUGACAUGUACGGGAAUACGCUAGAGAUAGCGGACUCUUUGGACACUCGUACACAGGUGGUGCAUGGUUGCCGUCAGCUCGUGUCGUGAGAUGUUGGGUUAAGUCCCGCAACGAGCGCAACCCUCGUCCUAUGUUGCCAGCGGGUUAUGCCGGGGACUCAUGGGAGACUGCCGGGGUCAACUCGGAGGAAGGUGGGGAUGACGUCAAAUCAUCAUGCCCCUUAUGUCUUGGGCUUCACGCAUGCUACAAUGGCCGGUACAGAGGGCUGCGAUACCGUAAGGUGGAGCGAACCCCAAAAAGCCGGUCUCAGUUCGGAUUGGGGUCUGCAACUCGACCCCAUGAAGUCGGAGUCGCUAGUAAUCGCAGAUCAGCAACGCUGCGGUGAAUACGUUCCCGGGCCUUGUACACACCGC